This 429-nucleotide ribosomal RNA is filed under the name Bacteroidota bacterium. Its description in RNAcentral is "Bacteroidetes bacterium partial 16S ribosomal RNA". It matches the Rfam family "Bacterial small subunit ribosomal RNA", at positions 355 to 776 of the family's 1533-position model. Lineage: Bacteria; Pseudomonadati; Bacteroidota. The record is from RNAcentral.
UAGGGAAUCUUCGGCAAUGGGGGGAACCCUGACCGAGCAACGCCGCGUGAGUGAAGAAGGUUUUCGGAUCGUAAAGCUCUGUUGUUAAGGAAGAACGAGUGUGAGAAUGGAAAGUUCAUACUGUGACGGUACUUAACCAGAAAGGGACGGCUAACUACGUGCCAGCAGCCGCGGUAAUACGUAGGUCCCGAGCGUUGUCCGGAUUUAUUGGGCGUAAAGCGAGCGCAGGCGGUUAGAUAAGUCUGAAGUUAAAGGCAGUGGCUCAACCAUUGUAGGCUUUGGAAACUGUUUGACUUGAGUGCAGAAGAGGAGAGUGGAAUUCCAUGUGUAGCGGUGAAAUGCGUAGAUAUAUGGAGGAACACCGGUGGCGAAAGCGGCUCUCUGGUCUGUAACUGACGCUGAGGCUCGAAAGCGUGGGGAGCGAACAGG